CGGUGCCAUCAUACGAGCAUUAAUGCACCGGAUCCCAUCAGAACUCCGUAGUUAAGCGUGCUUGGGCUAGAGUAGUACUGGGAUGGGUGAACGCCCGGGAAGUCCUAGUGUUGCACCCU
Picea glauca (white spruce) is the source of this 119-nucleotide non-coding RNA. The record is from Rfam. Lineage: Eukaryota; Viridiplantae; Streptophyta; Pinopsida; Pinales; Pinaceae.